CUUCAUGAGUUGCGGUCGCUCUGUCACAGCACAGCUCCGACUGGCCGCACGCCAACCCCAUGUUCAAGGGUGGCUCGGAUGAGGAAGCGACCUGGCGGGCCACGAGACAAACCCGGCGGGUAAGAGCACUCC
RNAcentral lists this non-coding RNA (132 nucleotides) under Renibacterium salmoninarum. RNAcentral describes it as "SAM-IV sequence". It matches the Rfam family "SAM (S-adenosyl methionine) riboswitch aptamer". Rfam says of the family: SAM-IV is a mRNA element that regulates gene expression via direct sensing of S-adenosylmethionine (SAM or AdoMet). SAM-IV riboswitches share conserved nucleotide positions with the previously described SAM-I riboswitches sequence analysis and molecular recognition experiments suggest that SAM-I and SAM-IV riboswitches share similar ligand binding sites, but have different scaffolds. RNAcentral also lists the same sequence under 1 other name. The record is from RNAcentral. Lineage: Bacteria; Bacillati; Actinomycetota; Actinomycetes; Micrococcales; Micrococcaceae.